RNAcentral lists this ribosomal RNA (587 nucleotides) under uncultured Lachnospiraceae bacterium. Its description in RNAcentral is "bacterial SSU rRNA". It matches the Rfam family "Bacterial small subunit ribosomal RNA", at positions 96 to 701 of the family's 1533-position model. Lineage: Bacteria; Bacillati; Bacillota; Clostridia; Lachnospirales; Lachnospiraceae. The record is from RNAcentral.
UGGCGGACGGGUGAGUAACGCGUGGGUAACCUGCCUUAUACAGGGGGAUAACAGUCAGAAAUGGCUGCUAAUACCGCAUAAGCGCACAGAGCUGCAUGGCUCAGUGUGAAAAACUCCGGUGGUAUAAGAUGGACCCGCGUUGGAUUAGCUGGUUGGUGGGGUAACGGCCCACCAAGGCGACGAUCCAUAGCCGGCCUGAGAGGGUGAACGGCCACAUUGGGACUGAGACACGGCCCAGACUCCUACGGGAGGCAGCAGUGGGGAAUAUUGCACAAUGGGGGAAACCCUGAUGCAGCGACGCCGCGUGAAGGAAGAAGUAUCUCGGUAUGUAAACUUCUAUCAGCAGGGAAGAUAGUGACGGUACCUGACUAAGAAGCCCCGGCUAACUACGUGCCAGCAGCCGCGGUAAUACGUAGGGGGCAAGCGUUAUCCGGAUUUACUGGGUGUAAAGGGAGCGUAGACGGUGUGGCAAGUCUGAUGUGAAAGGCAUGGGCUCAACCUGUGGACUGCAUUGGAAACUGUCAUACUUGAGUGCCGGAGGGGUAAGCGGAAUUCCUAGUGUAGCGGUGAAAUGCGUAGAUAUUAGG